RNAcentral lists this ribosomal RNA (281 nucleotides) under uncultured bacterium. RNAcentral describes it as "partial 16S ribosomal RNA". It matches the Rfam family "Bacterial small subunit ribosomal RNA", at positions 123 to 406 of the family's 1533-position model. The record is from RNAcentral.
AACGUAUCCUUGAGUGGGGGACAACUAGUCGAAAGACUAGCUAAUACCGCAUACGCUCGGAAGAGGAAAGUGGGGGACCGCAAGGCCUCACGCUGAAGGAGCGGCCGAUAUCAGAUUAGCUAGAUGGUGAGGUAAAGGCUCACCAUGGCGACGAUCUGUAGCUGGUCUGAGAGGAUGAUCAGCCACACUGGGACUGAGACACGGCCCAGACUCCUACGGGAGGCAGCAGUGGGGAAUUUUGGACAAUGGGGGCAACCCUGAUCCAGCCAUUCCGCGUGAGU